RNAcentral lists this ribosomal RNA (435 nucleotides) under uncultured Lachnospiraceae bacterium. RNAcentral's name for it is "partial 16S ribosomal RNA". It matches the Rfam family "Bacterial small subunit ribosomal RNA", at positions 341 to 792 of the family's 1533-position model. The record is from RNAcentral. Lineage: Bacteria; Bacillati; Bacillota; Clostridia; Lachnospirales; Lachnospiraceae.
ACGGGAGGCAGCAGUGGGGAAUAUUGCACAAUGGGCGAAAGCCUGAUGCAGCGACGCCGCGUGAGUGAAGAAGUAUUUCGGUAUGUAAAGCUCUAUCAGCAGGGAAGAAAAAUGACGGUACCUGACUAAGAAGCACCGGCUAAAUACGUGCCAGCAGCCGCGGUAAUACGUAUGGUGCAAGCGUUAUCCGGAUUUACUGGGUGUAAAGGGAGCGCAGGCGGAUGAUUAAGUCUGAUGUGAAAUCCCGAGGCUCAACCUCGGUGCUGCAUUGGAAACUGGUUAUCUUGAGUGUCGGAGGGGUAGACGGAAUUCCUAGUGUAGCGGUGAAAUGCGUAGAUAUUAGGAGGAACACCGGUGGCGAAGGCGGUCUACUGGACGAUAACUGACGCUGAGGCUCGAAAGCGUGGGGAGCAAACAGGAUUAGAUACCCUGGUA